Molecule: ribosomal RNA, 747 nt
Filed under: Rathayibacter sp.
Lineage: Bacteria; Bacillati; Actinomycetota; Actinomycetes; Micrococcales; Microbacteriaceae
Description: bacterial SSU rRNA
Rfam family: Bacterial small subunit ribosomal RNA
Source: RNAcentral
GAUGAAGCCCAGCUUGCUGGGUGGAUUAGUGGCGAACGGGUGAGUAACACGUGAGUAACCUGCCCUUGACUCUGGGAUAAGCGCUGGAAACGGCGUCUAAUACCGGAUACGACCUGCCCCGGCAUCGGGUGCGGGUGGAAAGUUUUUCGGUCAAGGAUGGACUCGCGGCCUAUCAGGUAGUUGGUGAGGUAAUGGCUCACCAAGCCGACGACGGGUAGCCGGCCUGAGAGGGUGACCGGCCACACUGGGACUGAGACACGGCCCAGACUCCUACGGGAGGCAGCAGUGGGGAAUAUUGCACAAUGGGCGAAAGCCUGAUGCAGCAACGCCGCGUGGGGGAUGACGGCCUUCGGGUUGUAAACCUCUUUUAGUAGGGAAGAAGGGCUUCGGCUUGACGGUACCUGCAGAAAAAGCACCGGCUAACUACGUGCCAGCAGCCGCGGUAAUACGUAGGGUGCAAGCGUUGUCCGGAAUUAUUGGGCGUAAAGAGCUCGUAGGCGGUUUGUCGCGUCUGCUGUGAAAACCCGAGGCUCAACCUCGGGCCUGCAGUGGGUACGGGCAGACUAGAGUGCGGUAGGGGAGAAUGGAAUUCCUGGUGUAGCGGUGGAAUGCGCAGAUAUCAGGAGGAACACCGAUGGCGAAGGCAGUUCUCUGGGCCGUUACUGACGCUGAGGAGCGAAAGCGUGGGGAGCGAACAGGAUUAGAUACCCUGGUAGUCCACGCCGUAAACGUUGGGAACUAGAUGUG